CGGGAUGUAGCGCAGUUGGUAGCGUACUUGUUUUGGGUACAAGUGGUCACAUGUUCGAGUCAUGUCAUCCCGA
RNAcentral lists this transfer RNA (73 nucleotides) under Diphylleia rotans. RNAcentral describes it as "tRNA-Pro". It matches the Rfam family "tRNA". From Rfam's summary of the family: Transfer RNA (tRNA) molecules are approximately 80 nucleotides in length. Their secondary structure includes four short double-helical elements and three loops (D, anti-codon, and T loops). The record is from RNAcentral. Lineage: Eukaryota; Collodictyonidae.